RNAcentral lists this long non-coding RNA (28057 nucleotides) under Citrus x clementina. Its description in RNAcentral is "Citrus clementina (C. clementina) long non-coding RNA (CCLE_LNC004583)". The record is from RNAcentral. Lineage: Eukaryota; Viridiplantae; Streptophyta; Magnoliopsida; Sapindales; Rutaceae.
GAUAUAAAUGUAUUUGAAAAUAAGGAUAUACUGUAAAAAUUAAAAAUUAUGUUGUUGAGAGCUAAUUGACUGUUAUGAAAAUAGUAGAUGGUAAGUGGUAUAUGCUGAUUUUAGUAAGGAGUACACUAACACUAUCGCUAUAAAAGUAAGUUAGAGUAUAUUUGAAGUGAACCAUCUAUUGCUCAUAUCUUACUCCUGAUUUUUAUUUGGCCAAGUCAUACUUGUUUUUAGUCUCUUUAUUUAGGUAACUAUCCAUGUUCGACUCUUAUGGAAGGUACGGGUUAAAAGAAUUAUAUUUGAAGUUUAUCUAACUCUACGUUUUAAAGAAUGAUUAAAGAAAACUUGGGAAGAUUUUUUGCUCACAUUUGAAUUGUUAAUUAGGACUUAGGAUAAUAGUAUCCAACAAUUUUUUUUUUUAUUAACUAAAAAAUGCCCUUAUAAACAAUAUUGGACAACGCAACAAUCUUCCUAUUAUUAGCUGAAUUGGACAAAGUAAUCUUCACCCUAACGAAAAAUGCGCCAAUAGACAAAAAACACUUAUGCCCUCCUAAUCAAUGGUUCAACCCUGAUAUUAUUUGUAGUGCCGUCUUAUCUAAUGGAUAUAAGUGCUUAUUUAAUUCGUAAGCUCUUUUUAAUUUUUUUUUUAUUAUUGUGGGUAUUUUUUAGUCUCUAUUAGUAAAAACUCAAAAUUUGAGCUUUUGGGAGUAGAGGUUAAAAAGUUUUUUUAAAAUAUUAAAAUAUCUAAAAUAUACUUUCUUUAAUUUGUAAUCUUAUUUAAUUUCUUUAUAGCAUAACUUUAACUAACUUGCCUAUUAAAGUAAUUUUUUUUUGUGUAUUAAACUAUUUGGUAUCCGAAGACCACAUUUGUCCUCGACUAAUUUAGAUUCGAGCUGGAUAGGACCACUACAGCGGCAAAACUCUCCUAAAAGCUCUAAGGAAAUGAAAGCUAUAAUUUUAAUAAAAGCUCUCAUUGACAACUAGACAACUAUUUUUUUCGCAAAAGCUCUACUGAUAAAAGCUCUACUUAAAUAAGCUUUAUUUGAAAAGGUAUACCAAACGAAGCCUUAAUACCUAAAAAUAUCUAAUGUAAAACCACUAAUUAUUAGAUGGAAUGGCUCAUCUUUUUUUUUUCCCUAUCUUUCUUUUUAACCCAAAAGUUUCAAUUUUAUAAACUAGCGUAGGACACCUCAACACAUACAAUUUUUCUUUAAUAGAAAAAGGUGGAAUGUCUUACUUAUUGAAGACAUCGUGGAAUUAAGUGUGGAAGAUCAAUCAACCUAGAAGCACUAUUUUACACAUUUCACACAUGUAAAGUUAACUACACCACGGGGUUUAUUCAAUGUUGAAUGAAGGCAUCAUAAUUGAUUUAAUUAACUUAAUUACCUUCUUUUCAAACCAAGCCAACUAGGCUACCCUCUUCAGCGAUUAUGAACCAUUCCUUUGUCAUGCGUAAUAUGCAAAGAAUAAAAAAUGAUACACAUAUAAUUCAAUGUGGCACCGAACUAUAAAGCCAAUAAAUAUUGAAAGAAUAAAAAAUGGAACCCACAAGCGAUAGCUUUUACGAAACAAAACCCGUAGCAGGGGUGCAAGCUAAGAUCAAACAGAAUCCUUAGAAACUAAGGCAAAUGUGAAAGCAACAAACAGAGACAGAAACCGCGUCCGAGAACACAGAGUUCCCAUCGGUUCCUGUCCUGUUACAUAAAUUAUCCAAAAUGUAUAAUACGUAAAAAAAUGGAGAGAGAGUGAGCAAAAGUGUUCGAUGUUUAAGCCAACCAUUAUGAGGCCUUUGCCUCCUCUCGUUUAAUAUAAAAAGUUACACAGGGGAUGGCUAGCAGUGCCACUGUAAGCCAUGUUUGCUUAACGUCACAGAUAUUAAAUUAUUGCACGGUUUCUUGACCAUUUCUUUGUAGUUUUCCUCCCAUUUUUUUAAUUUUUUUUUCUAUUUUUUAUAUUUUAUUUUAUUAUCAUAAUAAAAUAUUGCCUCUUCCUAUACAGUGACCCAGCUUUCCAUGCAUACCUUCACAUGCACUUGCCAAGCCGAAACCCUAGCUUACUUGCUUGUCCAACCAUCACACCAUUUCUCAUUGUUCCUCUUUUUACCAUUUUGACCAAUUCUUUGAGUGUUUUUCCCAUAUACUUAAACUUGAUGUCUCUCAUUCUUCCUCUUGUAACUCCCUAGCUUAGCUUGUAACUCCAUUUACCUUGGAUAAUCGAGAAAAUGGUUCAUAAGUUCAUCAAUUUCAUGUGAUCAUCUUCGUGGUAAGUCGUGUGUGGAUUUUAUGACCAAAAAAGAACAUAAAUAAGGAAAAUUACUAGUCUAGUUAUAAGGAGAUCCAAUCAUAAAACUAAUAAUUCUUUUUAAAUAUUUGAAUGAAGAUGGGAAACUUCACCAACUAAUUAAUAGCAACCACUGUCCCAUACUUUUUACUCGAAUUCUGGUGAUUGCGGCACAAAGCACAUUUUUGUACAGUAUUGGUUAAAGUUUGUCAUUUAAAUAUGCAUGUAUUUAGGGUAAAUGUAAUCAAAUUACAUUUUAUUUUGUAGAGUAAUGAUAUAGUCAUAAGUUUGUACAAACUGAUGUGACGUUAAUUCAUUGGUUGAACUAAAUAUCUCUUGGCCCACAUGAUUUAUUUCUAUUAUUUUAUAUUUUCAUUCAACUAAUAAAUUAAUAUCGUAUCAGUUUGUAUAAGAUAAGUUUGUACAAGAAUUUGUGGUUGUAUCAUCACUCAUUUAUACAAGAAUAAAUUAAUCUUUAUUCUUUAGGGUUAUGUAUCAAUUUCCGGUUAGUCUUAAAUUUCGAAAAGGAAGAAUGAUAUUUUGGUCCAUCUUAGAGUUGGUUCUUAUCUUUUUGGUCUCUGGUAAAUUUUUAAUACUUCAUUUGAUCCUUGUUGUGAUGUUAAAAUAAUAUUAAAAAAUAUAUUGUUAAAUAAUAGAUCUGAUAUUUCAACAUUUUAACAAACAAAUUGACUAGUUACAAUUUUUAUAGGUCUCACAUAAUUAAUUUAUAUGUGAAAUUGUCUUUUUUUUUAACACCAGGGGUGAAAUUAGCAUUGGCAAUAAAAAUCUAUCAAUGACCAAAAAGAUAAAAACCAACUCUAACAGGGAUGAAAUGUCACCUCCAUACCGCUACAUUACUUGUGUUAGUGUUGAAUACUUUUUUUUUUUGGGUAAAAGCUCAUUUAGUCCCUAUAUUUUAAUAUUAGUAUCUAUUUAGUCACUAUAUUUUUUAAAAUACCUCGAAACAUCCCUGCCGUUAAAGUAUUGAUACCCCUACCGUUAAUUUUUAUUUCUUUAGUCUUACUUUUACAAUAUUGCCCUUUUAUAAUAAUUUUUUUGUUUGGACAUUAAAAAAAUUAAAUUACCAAUUUAACCCUAAAAUAAAAAAUUUGAUUAAUUUUUAAUUGUCAAAAAUUGUAUGUAAACUAUCAAGUGUGCAAAUGAUGCUUGCAAAAAAAUAAUAUAAUUUUUUUAAUUUUCUAGGGUAAANNNNNNNNNNNNNNNNNNNNNNNNNNNNNNNNNNNNNNNNNNNNNNNNNNNNNNNNNNNNNNNNNNNNNNNNNNNNNNNNNNNNNNNNNNNNNNNNNNNNAAUUAUAUAAAAGGGUAAUAUUGUAAAAGUAAGUCAAAGAAAUAAAAAGUAACGGUAGGGGUAUCAAUACUUUAACGGCAGGGAUGUUUCAAUACAUUUUAAAAAAAUAUAGGGACUAAAUGGAUAUUAAUUUUAAAAUAUAGGGACUAAAUGAACUUUUACCUUUUUUUUUUUCUUUUUAUGACGGGUGAUCAUUAACGUCUUUGCUGCUGUCAAUAAGAUUAAUCAAGCAGUUUAAUUUUCCUCAAAAAGUGAUGUUUAACAUAAAUAGAAGUAAUAACAUAAAUUUUUCGUAUCAUUUUGUAAAAUACAAGGAUUAAUAAGAAAUUGAUGUCUAAGGAAUAAAGAAUAUUUCACCUUUAUAUAUGCAUCAAUUCUGUAAGCAUCCAGACAUUAAGACAUGCAUGAAAGUAUUUAUGCGUGUAUUUGAAAUUUUAGGAUCUGAGAUGACAUUUUAUUUAAAAAAUUGAGUUGAAAAAUUAUUAAACCAAAAGUUUAAUGCAAUGGUUAAUUUAGUCCAUGAAUAGAGAUUUUUCAUAUUUUGAUUAAAAGACUACUUAAUUAAUGUAUUAAUCUCAUAGUUUAAAAUUAUGAUAGUCAAAAGCAUCAAUAAUGAUAAUCGUACAUAUAUUUUAAUUCACAGCUAUGAUUGUGAAGAAAAAAAAAAAAAAAAGACGUGGUAAAGGGAAAUUUCAUCUUAGAUGGUGAAAAGUGAAAACAACACAAGGAUGAUAUUGUAACUUCACAAAAGUACCAUUAUUCCCAUUAGGCCUUUAUAUAGCAACCGCCUAUAAGCAUUUUACUGUGGAUUCAUGUGCUUUUAACUUUUCUCCUAUAUUUUUAAACCUAGGUUUCAGCUUCAAAAAUAUUUUUCAUUUUUCGUUGAGCACAGUAAUGGAAGAUCAAAGCCAAGAAGCUAAUAAUAACAGUCCAAGUCAUGGCUCAGCUGAGAGAAGUACGGAACCAGUGAGGUCAAGAUGGACUCCAAAGCCUGAACAAAUUCUCAUACUUGAGUCCAUCUUCAAUAGUGGCAUGGUUAAUCCUCCUAAAGAUGAAACUGUGAGGAUAAGAAAGCUUCUUGAAAAAUUUGGUUCUGUUGGUGAUGCUAACGUUUUCUACUGGUUCCAAAACAGACGUUCAAGAUCUCGCCGCCGACAACGCCAGUUGCAAGCUAGCCUUGCUGGGGAACAAAGAAAUAAUAAUAUUCAUCAGGCACAAGCCUCUAGUGCAGCUGGUGCAAUUCAAUAUGAAAUUAAUAAUAAUUGUGCGGCUGCUGCUCUGCCUAUGGGGUUUGCUGCUACUUCUCCAGCUACCUUUGGUUCCACUCCAUGUACUAAUUUUGUUGCUGGCUCUUCUUCAUUUUGUGGAGUUAUGGGUGGUGAUGAUGGAGUUGAAACCCUAUAUUCAGUGUCUGGCCAAAUGGGUUUUCAAGAAGUAGUUGACCAGAACUCUAGUGUAACAUCAAUGUUAUGCCCAUCAGAAUCAUCAAAUUUGCAGUACCAAACUGGUAACCCAUAAUUAACAAUCAAUUGCAUGUCUCAUCUACCUAGUCCCUUUGAUUUAUUUAGUUAGGCACUAAAUUUCCUCGUAAUUAAUUUUGGGGUUUUUGUUGUAUAACAUAAUUUUUCAGGAUUUAUCACAGUUUUUAUCAAUGGUGCGCCAACAGAAAUUCCAAGGGGACCAAUUGACGUGAAAACUUUGUUUGGCCAAGAUGUAGUUUUGGUCCAUUCCUCUGGCGUGCCAAUACCAACAAAUGAAUUUGGGUUUCUAAUGCAGAGCUUGCAGCAUGGUGAAAGCUAUUUCCUGGUAAAAUAAUACAUCUUCAAAUUAAAGUUAACAUUUCAUAUGCACAGUCUCCAUUGGGCUUUUUUUUUGGGGGGGGGGGGGGGGGGGGGGGGGGGUCCCUUUUGGGUUUAAAUUUUUUUUUUUUUUGGGGGGGGGGGGAAAAAAUUUUUUUUUUAAAAAAAAGGGGUUUUUAAAAAGUUUUUAAAAAAAUUCCUUUCCCGGGAAAAAACCCCCCAAUAAANNNNNNNNNNNNNNNNNNNNNNNNNNNNNNNNNNNNNNNNNNNNNNNNNNNNNNNNNNNNNNNNNNNNNNNNNNNNNNNNNNNNNNNNNNNNNNNNNNNNCUAUGUCUUUUUUCCUCUACUCUCCGUCUGAGGAACAUCUCUUCUGUAAAAUAUAUAUCUUCAGAAACAAUUUUUUUUUUAUAGCCCAGCCCCCCCCACAUCACCCUGGAGAAAAACCAGAGGGGGGAUCCCUCCCGGGUUUGAAUUUUCUUUUUUUCUGGGGGGGGAGGUAAGUAAUUAUUAUUUGAUAAUAAGUGUGUUAUUAGUACUGUUAUCAUGAAAUUCCUUCUCAUGAUCAAAUCCAGCUAUAUAUAAUUAAUGGUACUUAUAUAUAAUUAAAAGUACUGUGAAUCGUACUUUAUUUUUUUAGCUUAUAUAAUCCGGGUAAUAAGAAAGGAAUUUUUGGAAUUCCAUGAAAUCUUUCUGUCUACAGUUUCACUCUUGAUCAUUAUAUGCUAUUUUAAUCAGUUCAAGAUUCCAAAAACUUAAAAAUUACUGAUGAUACAGUACUUAAGGCUCCACUAACAUAUUAAGUAGUACAGUUAUUAGGGUGUCAAAAUGCACAGUAAUAAAAAUUAAUAAUUUUUUAAUCUAAGAGAGUGAUCAUGGUUUCUCUCUUUCUUGUUCCUUUAUUUUCUUUCUUUUUCCUUUCUUUCUCCCUUUUUUGGGGCUGGCUGUGGGUUCAUGGAACCUGGCUAAAACAGCUGUGAAAUUUUGAUUACAGGUUUCAAGACCAGCAUAAACAGGAAUCAAAUCAAGGUGCAACAAAUGGGAGCUUCGUCCUCUUAUAUGUAGGAAUUCCAAAAAAAAAAAAAAACUAUUAGCUAUUGUGUUCUAUAUGUUCUUUCUUUUAUACUCAUCUGUUUCAAAGUUGUUUAAUAGGUUGCCCCCUUAUUACCUGAAUAUUGCAUAAUGUUAGGGAAACAAUGUAUUGGCUGUUUAGAACCAUUAGAGAGUAGUGAAUUUAUGAAAUUAAUAAUUAUAUUUAUGUCAUUAACUUGCCGUAGAUUUUAUGAUGUAUGAACUCCAGUUUUCAUUGGGAAAAAGUUUGUGUUUGAUUGGUCACGUUGGAUUAUGAUUUAAUUUAAUUGUUACUGGCUUAAUACAUUGUCUUGUAGAUUUAUAAGUGAUAUGAUACAUAUCUACAAAAUUGGAAUACGAAGUUUAAUCAAUGCGGCAGUCGAAUAUAGCUCCCGUUAAUUAGUAGACAAGUCCAAUGCGAGUACAAAUUUUGUAAUUCUGUACUCUUCAUCAAUAGCGUUGGAUCUAUAUAUAGCUUGGAGUUCCAUUUUUUAUGUUUGAGAAUCAGUUCAUAGCAGGAUGAACUUAACAUUUUAAUGUCUCAAUUGUUACACAGAAAGGCUAUAGAGUGAGAAGAAAUCACAGUGAUUCCAAAGAUUCAUGGAAGAAGAUCCACACUUACAUAUUUUCAUUUGAAGAUGCAUCUUGAGUUCACUAAUACUGGAAAAGGAAGCCAGGUCGUACAACAAAAAAUAAAAAGAAAAGCUAAAUAAAUAAGAGGAGCAGGGCAGAAACUUCAUGCAUCAAGCUCAAAUCAGCACACAAAAGCUGCUUUGUAUUCAAAAGCUAAUAAUAUACAAAUGGGAUUUUGCAUACCAAAAACAGUGUGAGGAUUUUAUCAUCAAAGGAAGGGGAAACUGCUAAAAAAUAAAAAGGGAAAAUUAUAUAGCCAUCGUAUAAACAGGUGCCUAGAAUACUUUUGAUCAUUUACCAGUAGUUGAUAUAAAAUAUGUGACAAUAAAGAGGUGACUAACCUUUUCAAUAACAUGAAAUGAACAAGGUCGUCGAACUUCUUUCAUCAAUCCUAUUUACUAUUUUUAAUCCUUAAUUAAGGUUGUCCAUUGUACAUUUUCUUCUUCUUUUACAAUGAAAAUGAGAAAAGAACCACAAAAAAAAGGGAAAGAAAUUACAAGAUAUGUGAAAAGUCUCCGUGUCCUAAAAUAAAUAUAAUUUUUUUUUCGUAACGUAUCUUAUAAUAAACAUGGUUAUCACGUGAUAUUAUCUCACUGACCUAAUAUUACGCCAACUCCUUUCCUGAAUAGAUACGUAAUUGUGUCGCAUAUACAUAUAUAUUCAGACAAAGAAUUGCAUUAUUUAUGUACUUUGUCUGUCUUAAUAAUGUGAGAUUUUCUCAGUCCUCAUGAAACAAUGUAAAGUGUCUAAAUUUUAAAAACUGAAAAAUAAAAACGANNNNNNNNNNNNNNNNNNNNNNNNNNNNNNNNNNNNNNNNNNNNNNNNNNNNNNNNNNNNNNNNNNNNNNNNNNNNNNNNNNNNNNNNNNNNNNNNNNNNCCAAUUCUUCACAAAUAUGGGAAUAGUUUAUCUCUCAAUUGUACUAUCCUUUCAUCAAUGUGGAUAAAGCACCUUUAGCACAUUAGAGCUUAUGUUUUAUUUAUUUAUUUAUUUUUGCAUUUUAGCUUCCUCCAUAUUUUAUUAGAGUGAGAUAGUCUUUAUGUCACAAAACAAAUAUAUUCUUUUUAACUUGUAUAACGUAACUCGCCCUCUAAUGAGUUAUCUGCUCACGUGAUAUUAUAUCAAUUCAAUAAUGCUUUAAUUCUAUUAACAAAAUGUUACAUGAUUGCAUCAUAUAUAUGAAUAUACUCAUGUAGUGAACCUUAUUCUUAAAAAAAGAAAAAGAAAGUGAAUUUACUAAAACAAUUCAAAAACUUUGAAGUAAAUAUACAUCUAAUAACACUAAAUUUACAAAGUUUCCUCAAAUUAAAUUUGCAAGAUUGAAAAAAGAAAUUGUAAUAUGUAUGAAAAUUCUUGGUGUCACAAAAUUAGUGUGCGUGUGUGUUUAUACAUCGUUUGUGUAAAUAACUCGCCUAAUGUUUAAGUGAUAUUAUCACUGAAUAUCCUAAUGUUAAUCGAAAACCACUUUAUCUCUUUUCAAGAAAUGUUACAUGAUUGCCACCGAAAGAAGUUAAUUUAUAUAUGCAAUUCAAAAAUUUUGAAGUGUAAUAUCUGAAGAAAAAACGUUAAAACUAGAGAUACAAAUUCUUUAUAGAGUUAACAAUAAGAAUAUCAGAAUAAAAAACAAAGUGCCAAGUCAAAGAAAAUCUUGCACUUAUAUUCUUGCAAAUCUUGAUGCGGUUGUCAUCAAUGUCAUAUAAAAAACUCGUUACUAGUGAAGUGACAACGGACACAGGAUUAAUUUCCUGGAAAGAAUCCCAGAUACAGUUGUGUCCUGUGCAGGGUAUUAAAUUUUUAUACAAAUUGGGUGCAGGGCCGGUACUUGGAUUCCCCAUUGAAUGGAAGUAUCGAAAAUCCAUGAAAUGAAAUUAAAUCGCCAACUUGGGGCUUCAACACCGACCGAUAUAACCAAUCCAAUGCAGACGGAUGUUUGUUCAGAGAUUUCUUUAUUUUAUUCUCUAAACAUUAGGGCACAACUACUAAGAAAUAACAUGUGAAAAUCAAAGAUUAAUUACAACUUCUAUUGGCUGCCAUGUGAACCAAUAUAAUGAUUUUACUCCACGGUGUAAUUUCUAGGUGAUUAAAAAUUGAGGCUUGUAAGUUUUUACAUAGAUUCUGCAAUUGUUUUGACCAGGAAACAAAUCAGUCAACCUACAAUGGGAAUCCAAUAUGUGAAUAAUUGCUCAGUAUUAAUUUAUUUGAGCUCAUGAUUUGAAAGGAACAAAUGGUUCAUUUUUUCACAAAUCCAGCACGGUUUUUCUAGAUUAUUGUCAAGAUUACUUACAACUCCGUUUAAAAACACAGGCUUGAAUCUUGCAUUUAUGGGCGUGCCAUAUAACCCCUUUUUUAAUUAAAAAAAUUUAUUGACCUAUUGUUGUUUUCUCUUCUUUAUUGAUACACUGGAUAUUCAUUUUUACAGUAUGACAUGAUGAUAUUGAAGACGACAACUCUUCACACGGUUAACAAAUACCGUAAGUUAGGGAACUUAAUACCAUAAAGUAUUAAACAUAUACAUAUAUAUGGACACACCUUAAAGGUAAUUCGGAAUUACCAAGUUAAAAUCAAGUUGACUUUGUGGAAUAACAAAAUUAUUGGAUUCUCAUCUCUGGCCUAAUUAAACGUUCUUAUGAUUUAACUUAAUAAUAAUUAUUUACCUGCAAACCCAUUUGAUUCUGAUUUUGGUUUUUCUACCCAUAAAAGUUUGAAUAAAUCUGAAUGAGAUCUUCUUAAAAUUAAUAAAUUACUAACUUUAAAUUGUUUGCAUAUAUUUUAUUUUAUUUUAUUUAUUUUUUUAGGUUUGGAAUGGAAGUAAGAAAUUUUACCCGUUAAAUAUCAAUUUUUAUCUUUUAUUAUUAUUCGAAUUCGGAUGAUUGCAAAUGCAAAAGUCAUUAACAAUUAGUGGACAGGGUAUGUAUUGUUUAUAUACGUGAUCUUAUUUAACUUGUCCCGAAUAAAUGAAAUUCGAGCCACUCCAAGUAUCUCAAGUGCUAACUUCAAAGAUUGCCCCGUACAUUUAUUUGAAUUGGAAUAUUGAUUUGUUUCGGGAUAUAACCUAAGCUUACAGUUAUUUGAAUAUAAUGGUAGUGAAAUAGUUAAUAUUGGCCUUUCCAUUUAAUCACCACAUCUUUUGAAAUUUUCACUUGAGAUCGAAUCAAGUGUGCGAUUUAGAAUUGGUAGAAAAAAAAAAAGUAAAUAUUGCAUCGCAGUUUAAUAACCGCAUGUCAUUUUUUUCAAUUUGAAUCCAAAUAAUCUUAAAACUAAUAUGGAGCAGUAGUAUUAUUGAGAUGCAUUAUUAACUUCUAAUAACACUUAUGACGUCAAUAGGUGACAACAAUUAAUGUUUUGGGCCUGGUGUAUUUCACAAUUCUUUUGUAAUGGGUAAAAUGUUGGGCUAGCCUGCAAGUGUACAUUUAUGGGCUUUGGCCUAUUAUUGGGCAUAUUUAAGAAGGUUGGAGGUAAUGGCACAACCGAAAAACUCUCUUAAAAUAUGAGGGAUGGCAAAUCCUGCUAAGAGAUCUCCCUUAUGGAAUAAAUUUUAAAUAAUUUUUGGAGAAUGAGAAAAAAAUAACUCUAAAAUUUUUAAUUGAGUGGGGUUUAAUUUUGUACUCCCACUUAGGGAUGGCAACCAAACUCGGACCCGGAUCGGACCCGGAUUGAACCCGGAAAAUCCGGUCCGGGUUCAACCCGCACCGGCAUAGUUGUUAUCCGAAAUCCGGAUCAGUUUUUGAAAACCCGUAUUUUUCCGAUCCGGAUCCGGUUUUAGGUGAACCCGCAAAUCCGGAACCCGGACCCGGAUAUUAUUUAUUUUAAUAUUAUUUUUAUCCGUAAAUCCGUAAAUAUAAAUAGAAAAAUAAAAAAAAAACAAAACAAAAGUGAACCCUAGAUCUCUCUCGUUAGUCGUUCCUCUGAUCCUCUCUCAAAAUUUCUCCUUCAAUCUAAAAAAAAUUACUGUAAAUAUGUAAUUUCUCCUCUCACGAGACAAGUGAAAUCUGUAAUUUUGUAAAGCAAAUGAAAUCUUCCCACCAGACAAGUUGGCCCUCUCUAUUCCUACGCUCUGGUUUUGAAUGAUUCAUUAUCACUUGCACUCACUCAUUUUCCUCAGUAAAUGAGUGAAUGAUUCAGGCUUUCGAACGGAAAACACAGGCCGUGUUCCAGACUUUAGAAUAGCAACACCAGCAAGAAUGGAUCCAGUACAACCGCAUCUUGAUCGUUUGCAGAGUACUGUGCCGAGCAACACGUCUGUGCAAAGUUGGGAGGAUCAACAACUGAACGAGUCCCUUGCUAUUAAUGUCAGGGUCCACUGUUUAGCAUUGCAACAGCAUACCAUGAUGAAGCAGGCACAACAGCAGCAGCAGUCAUCGAUGGGAUUUUUAGAACAGCGAGUCCAGCAACAGCAGCAAGCCGUGAUUGGGUCAUUACAACUGCUACAGAAGCAGGCACAACAGCAGCAGCAGGCGGUGAUGGGAUAUUUACAACAAAUUACUUUUUUAAAAAAAAAUAAAUAAAGCAAUCCGGGUUCAAAACCCAGAAUCCGGAAACCCGGAUUUUUCCGGGUUGAACCCGGACCGGACCCGGAUUUUAAAAACCCGGGUUUAAUACGGGUCCGGUUAUGAGAAUUUUGUAUCCGGGUCCGGAUCCGGAACAGCCAAACCCGGACCCGGACCCGGAAAUUGCCAUCCCUACUCCCACCUCACUCUCACUCCAAUCUCUGUUAUAUAUAUAAAUAUUUAUUUAAUUUUUAUUCAAUAAUUUUUGUUUUAUCAAUUACAAUGUUCGUUAAUAAAUUUUCUUUAUAAUUUUUACUUAAUAUAAAUAAGCUACAACUAAAAGAAAAUCCUACAAUAUAAUUAUCAUUCAACCUUAAAAUAUUGUUAUGUUUUCUGUUCUCUCAUAAGUUGCUGCUCUCUUCAAACAUUGUUAAGUUUUAAUAUCAUUUUGAGAUAUUGUUUUAAACUUUUGGAUAUGUUUUAAAAUAAUUUAAAUACGUUAUAAUAUGAUGAUUUUAAUUAAGUCUCCAAUUUUUAAUUUAUUGAAAUUAUUUAUUUAUAACUAUUAUAAAAUAAGUAAGUGGAGAAUGGGGUGAGGACCAGAAAAUCAUUCCCCAUGCACAUAGGGAUUCCUCACCCCACUAAAUUUAGUGGGAAAUGCAGUAGAGAACGGAAGCAAAAUUUUUAAUGGAGAUAGGCCUCCCCCCCCCCCCCCCAAUUGUCAUUCCUAAUUUAUAUAUUCUUAAUUAAAAUGACCUAAAAGUACAAACAUAAAUCUAAUUAAGUAAUAAAUUUAUUUUUGGUUAUACUUACUCUUCAUCCUUCACACCCCAUCAAUUUACAUUAUAUUGGCAUUUUUUUCCACUUAAAUUUAAACAUUUUUUAUGCAUAUUCAGUAUUGCAAACUCAUUGAUGAACAUUCAUUAGGGCUUAAUGAGUUUUUUUUCUUCUUCUUUUAAGAUUUGAUAUCAACUACCUGCAUGUUUUUCUUUUUACUUCAAAAUUAUUUUUAUUUUUUUAAAAGAACUAAAAACAAAUCUAGCCGAUAUAAAACAGAAAUUAAGCAGUUGAUAACGUCGGUGUGAAGAGAAAAAAAAAUGGUUAAAUUUUAUUGAUGUUAUAUUCGUGCGUUUAUGUAACUCUACAAAAUUACCAUCAAUAUAUUCAAAUCAACUAAUCAUCAAAUAAUAAAUACUUGGUAAGAAUUUAAUAGAAGUAGUGUAUAUGUCAAGUAAGUACUAUUUAUGACAUCAACCUUUUCCUAAGCACUCCAGACUUAUUUUAUUUCAUUUAAAUUUAGUUGGUAAUAAUUUUUGGAGUUGCCGACAGUACAUGGGAUGCUGAUGACUUUAAACUUGUUUUUACGCUGGUAAAAAGAAAAAGUAAAAGAAAGGUAAGAAAAGAUAAUUUGCAUGAAGCAAUGAACCAUGUUUGGAAUUAAAGUUACUUGAAGCACUUUCACGAAUAGAUUAAAUUUAAUUAGGGACAAAUGGUGCAAUCUACUCCGGCACCAAAAAAGAUCCGAUUCAUUUUCUAAUUGCCACUCCCACCCUAUGCAUGCUUCUCAAUGAUUUUAGUAGUCAUCAGAAAAAUUUUAAACACUAAGGAUAUGGUCAUAAGGGUGUGUUUGGCACAUCAAAUCAUAUGAAAUUGCAUUAGUCAAUGUAAUGCAAUCCUAUGUUUAGUAAAUCUUUCAGCUCACAUUAUGAUAUAUUGUAAUAUAUCAUAAUGUAAACAUUUUUACAUUACACAAACCUGAAUCGGAUUUGUUUAAUAUGGUAUUCAUAUUAAAAAAUUUAAAAAUAAAUAAAUAAAAACUAAAUAAAAGCAAAUAGUAUUAAAUAAAAUUAAAAACUCAAAUAUGUUGGCACUGGUGCUGAUGAAAUUGCGGACGACAAUUCGAUGGUGGCCGGCCACUGCAUAACGUCAUGUUUUGCACUAAAAUCUAAUACCAUUAGAAUCCUUAUUUGUAGAGGCUAUGCAAUGGUGCAAUUAUUUAUGGAAAAAAAAGUUUUUGUUUGCCGUAAAUUUACAGUCAAAAUUUAAAAAAUGGAGACUUUGCCAUAGAUUUAUAGAGACUGAAAAUUUCCUUACUAGUAAUAGUUGCAUCAUUCCAUAUCCCCAUCUAUUGGCACCAAAAUAUACCUCAAAUGGCACUAAAGUAUGGCGGCUUGUGGUGGCCGGAGGUAAAAAUUAUUUAAUUUAAUUAUAAAAAUUUAAAUAAAUAAUAAAAUAUAAAUGAAUAUUUAAUUAUUAAUUUAAUAUAAAUAUUAAAACAAAAAAUAUUAGUUUAUAUAAUACAGUUUAUACUUCACCAAACAUAAUAUUGUAUUUUAAUUUAAUACGAGAUACCGCAAUACAAUCUAUAUACAAUACAAUACGGACCAGGAUCCGGUGCUCAGCACAAACUCAGCUGAGCACCGGAUCUGUUUCCAUACAAUACAAUGUGUACACAAUCAAGCAUAAUUAUUGCUAUUUCCCAGCAUAAUAAGUUAAUAACGCGAAAGUAAAGGCUGAGCCACAAUUGAUCUUUUACGAACUUUACUUUGUCUGUGGUUUGUGUAAUAUAUAAAAGAUAUAAAAGUGGUAAUUACUAUUAUUUAAACGUGGAUGUGUUCUAAUGAGCACCACUGUCAUUUUAUAAUUUAAGUAUAAUCGUAUAUGUUCUGUGUCGACACGUCAUCAUUAGGUUUUAAACCCUACGUCCAUACUGUAACAUGAUGUAAUACAGUAAUAGUAUUAUCACCUGUAAUGCCCCCAACUGAAUCAAGUUUUUCUCAAAUAAGAUUUCUUAAUUUUUUUUUUCUUUUAAUGCGACUUAUUUAUGAAUGAUCAUAAGAUAAGUCAAGUCAGUCACCAAGUCAAAAUUAACCUUGGUUUAAUGCAACUUAGAUGAACCAGUUGGAGAAUUCAUAAUUACGUACAUACAUCAAUCUUUUUUUUUUUUAAUCUUAAACAGUAAUCAUAGUUUAAAACUUACCCUGCUACCUUUUUCUUCCUUUUGGAGGAGGCUAGGUUGUUCAUCAAGGCGUUCGUUCCGGCUAAUUAUUCAUAACUUCUCCUAUUUAUGUCAAGAUUACUGAGUAACCAUCAUCAACCUUCAAAGGCUAGCUACACCUAUUGUGAAUUUUGAUGGUAACUUUUUGACAAAUUAAUUACAUGCUACUUUUACCCUUGAUUUGAGGAACUCGUAAUGUUUUGAUUUUAGAAGAUAAAAUACAAUUAACGUGGAGCAUGAUGCCAUGAUUUUCUCUUGACUUCAGCUUCUCUUGGGCAAAAUACAAACCGGUAAUUGAAAGCUAUUAGAUAAAAAAUAUAAAAACAAUUAAAUAUUAACCGCACAAUUACUCGCACAUGAUUUUUAAAAAAAUCAAGGGACUAGUUUAUUUAUAAAUUUGUAUGUACCAGUAAAUUAUAUAUCAAGUUUAGUUGGGAAAAACCUCUUGUAGUAUCUAUGAAGUCUAGGUUUUCAAUAUGUUGGUGCUUAUCAAGACUUAUAAUAUUGGUUUAAAAAGUUUUUGUUGCUCUUGAAAUAGUGUUCUUUAUCCAUUCACUUUUUUUCUAUAUGUGUAUAAAUAUUAUUGGGCUUGAUUGAAAAUAAUAUAUAGCAAUGAAUAAAUAGAUAAUGAGCCUCCAAGUCAAGAUUUUUCCUAGUAAAUAUUCUUUUAAUGAAUUCUUGGCAAGACCUAAACUCAAAUACAUGUAUUUAAUUUUUUUUUUUAAAAAAAAUCAUUGCAUAUUUGUUAAUUCCGAACAUAUUACAUGUGUACUAAUAAUCACAUACAAGAACAUCAAAAUUCACUUUACAAGAUUCAGUACUAGAUUGUGUUUCAAUUGUUUAUACGAUCAUCCCAUAUCGGCACAUCACUUGCUAUCUACCAUAAUCUGCUACGUACACGAUUUACUUCAAGAUUAAUUAGUAUUAUAAAAUAAAGGAAGAUGGAUACAACGAAUUCAUUGUAGUAUCCACCUAUAUCGCCCUGUAAGAGAAGAUGAAACAUUUAAUUACAUACUUAAUUAGAACCAUAUCAUAAUAUACAUGUUAUGACAAUUUAUGAGGCAAAUAUACAAAUUAGAUACGUUUCUCUUACUCGAUACUCUCCGUUAUUGCAAUUUUUUGUCUGUUCCCACCGCCUCCGUCAUUGUCUAAGAGCCCAUUCAACUUUUCUUUUUCUCGGGAACAGAAAGUGUAAUUUUUUUUUUAAAAAAAGUUACUUUAUUUUUCUAUUUAUUUUCUGAAAAUUGAUCGCACAACGACCAUACAUGGAGAGAACUAUAAGGUCACAUUUAUAAGGUACUGUUAAAAAGGACUCAUGCAAAAAUUUUGUAGACCCCAUUGAAAAUAUGGCAUCAGGUGGCUUUGCGACUGUAGUGAUGGGCAUAUUGAUUGAUAUUAUAAUAGAAGAAAUUGAUUAAAGGCAAAGAAAGAAACACACUUAUAACAUGGUCAAAAAAAGUGUACCAAACAGCAUUGAAAAGUCAUGAAAGAUGGGCAGGCAGUUUCAUUUAUGAGUCAGAAAGUCACAGGAGAAACAACUUUGGCUUUGCAUUAACAUGAUAUUAGCAUAGCAAUAGCAUCAUCAACAUUCAACAUGCUGCAGAAAAUUGACAUAAAAUUUGCAGAGAAUAACAAAGCCUGCUAGCUAGCUUGGAUAAGUCCAAAACUACUACAAGUUUCAGAGAAUUAUUAUAUAACUUGUAACAACUACUCAUCUCUCUCUCUAUUUUUUUAACCUUUUCUACUGUUACUCUCUUUUGCCAUUUAUGGAACUAACUGCACUGAUACUACUGUACAUUAAAGACUGUAGAGAUAAGACCUACUACUGCAGACUUGGACUCAACUCAUUGGUUGCUUGCUUCUCUUUCACUGGCUGAUUGAUUUUCUGAAUUUUUGAUUUUUUCUAAUACCCAAAACUUUUCUUAAGCAGCUCCAACUCCAAGGAAAUCAAUGAAGGGCAUGUUGAUCUUCUCAUAGCUAGUCUCAUUUUCCCCAUACAUAGAGAGAUUGACCUUGUUGUUGUUGGAGUUGUUGUUGCCUACUGACUCAUUUGCUGAGACUUCUGAAUUUGAAUCUGUCUGGCCAGACUGGUCCACAUUCAUAACCACUCCUCCAAUAGGCCCAGCUUGAUAAAACUCAUAGCCUGUGUCAUAAAUUUUGUCAACAUCUCCACUUCCCUUCGUAAUCUCCUUUUCUUCAGAUGAUGAACGACCUUUUUAAUUUUUAUCAAACCCAAAAACUCAAUAAACAAUAAUCUAAUUAAAAAGUACAAGAAAAUGAAAGAGAACUGAAAAUACAACACAUACCCAUUAGAGAAAACUUAGUGAAGUAUCCUGGAGACACUUUAGCUGAAGAGGGAGUGAGUGAAAGAUCAGUGAUUGUUGAAGCAGAUUCAUUGUUGCUUGAGAUAGUUGAUUCAUCACUGCUAGCAUUAGCAUUAUUGAUAUUAAUAUUGUUGUUUUGGAAAGGACCAGAAGAGGGCUUUCUCCUCCUAUAAAUGCUGGAUUGCUCUCUGUGUUUCCUAGCCAUGAUCACAUGCCAAUGAUUCUUGACAGCAUUAUCAGUUCUUCCCGGGAACAGUCUGGCAAUCAUGGCCCAUUUGUUACCGUACAACCUAUGAGCAGCUAACAGCCUCUCUUCUUCUUCUUCACUGAAAGCCCUCCUGUUGAUUCUUGGAUCCAGCUGAUUAAACCAUCUCAAUCUGCAACUCUUCCCUGGAAACAAAUAAUUAAACAAAGUCAACAACAGUCAAAAUACCCCUAAGAAAAGUCAUUUUUUUCCCUUGAAAAAAAAAAAGAAGAAACGGUAUUUUCUUCUUAUUUUGUUUGGAUUUUAAAUAUAUUACCUGAUCUUCCUUCAAGAUUCUCAGCGAUCAAGUUCCAAUUUUGAGGACCAUAUUGAGCAACCAGCUCUUUAAGCUUGGCAUCUUCCGCUGGCCUCCAAUGGCCUCUAGCACAGAGCUUAGUGUGGCCAUUUUUUCCAGAAACAGGGCGCUUGAUAACAUCCUCAACUUCCUCGCCCAAAUCCAAAGACAGCCCCUUAUUUUUAUGAACACCAAAGACCCCAUCUCUCUCCUCAACACAGAUUCUCCUAGCUUCCCAUGGUUUCUUAUUUAUCUCCAUAGGACAAGGGCUCAAGAUCUGAAACCCAGUUUCAGGAUUUUUAGUCCCAAAAGUGUUUGACAGAGAAAGAUGAGAAGAAGGAGCGAUAAAGUUCAUCCCUUGAUGAACUCCAUUGAAAACAUUGCCAUCGCCACCACCCUUCAGAAUUUGAAGACUCAUUGUUUCCAAGAGAACCCAAAUGGGGCUUGAGCACAAACAAGAAAUGCCCCCAAAGAGAACACACACAAAAACAAAAGGAAAAUAAAAACUUUCAAAAGAAGAGAAGAAGCCACAAGAUUCUUUGAGACUUGGGAGAGAUGGACAGAAGAUAAGGAGAUCUCUAAAUGCUAAUUGUUGGUUCUUCUUAUGCUAACUUGCUUUUACCAAAGCAAAUAGUAACAGGCUCUGUUGUGCAUGGAAAUCGAGAACCGCUCGUGUGGGUGGGGUGUGGUGGAGGUGCGUGUAAGCGCUUCUUGGGUUCUGGGAGAAAACCAGAAGCACUUUUGUCUCUUUGUGGAAAGGCUUUUGCUUUUUUCAAAGGAAAACGGAAACUCAAAUGACCCUCAGUCUCGACUCUAUACUCUCAACCAAUGUCCCACACCACUUGUCUCUCUGCUCUGUUUACUCUCUUAUCGAACAUACGCACCCCCCUCUAUUUAAAUACUUUGUUUUCUCUUCUUUUUAAUUAUUUUAUUCUUUCUUGUUAUGAUUUUUUUAAUGAUAGAUUCUGUUAAUCCAUUCGGUUUUGGUUGAUGUAGGAAUGAGCUUUGUUUUUUAAAUUACCCAAAACAUAGAUUUAAACUAUGCUGGUGCUUGAUUAUUAUUAUUAUAUAAUAUUUAUGUGUUUGGAUGCAAUAACGGUAUACUACUUAGUUUGUAAUGAUAUUAUGCGAGUAGCUUUUAAUUAACUUUUAAAUAGUUCGUUUAAUUCGAGAAGAGUCUUAGGAGAUAGCUGAGAGCAUAUUUACUUGUCAUCAUUUAUGAUGCAUUUAUAUCGAUUUCAAAAAUUUAAGUGUGUAUGUGGUGAAAUGUAAUUGAGUGGUGGUGUGAUGAUAUAAUAUUUAAAUAUUUAUCAUAAAUUUGAGAUAAUUUUAAAUUUAUAGUGGAUAAAUAACGAGCCGAUUGCACGAUUGUACUGUAAUAUGAUAUAAUUAGGGCCAGUUUGGUAAUAUUAUACAUUUUAAAAUAACUGUUGGUACCUAUACAGUAAUAAUAAUGAACUGUAAAAAAAAUCAGUUAAAUAUUUACUAAAAUUUAUUUUUAAAAGUAUUAUAAGUUUUAAAAUCAGCUUGUGUAUUUGGUAAAUCUUAUUAUUAAAUUAUUGUAAUAAUGUAAACUACCAAAUUGGAAAUAAUGUUAAUUAAAAUUUAUUUACACAUUUUUGAACAUGUAUAUAAAAUAUAUUUUUUUUGUAUAUGUAUAAUAAUAUAUAAGCAAAAUAAAUAUUUUAUAUUAUCAAUUUUAUUUUUUAUCUCAAUAUAAUUGGUAAUAAUAAUAAUCUCUUUAAAUUUAAUUAUGUUUUCAUUUCUUGAUUAAUUAGGAUAAUUUUAGAUUCAUAUAGUAGACACAAGGAUAUAUAUGAAAUUAUAUAAAAUAUAAAACUGAUUCUCAAAAUCAAAUUUUAAAAAGCUACUAAUUCCUUAUUUUUUAAAGAGAUAUUAUCAUUUUCCCACCAAAGUUACUCUAACACAUCAUGUCAUUACCACGGUUUGGUAAAAACAUCAUUUUACCACUAAACGUUUAAAUUGUUAGCAUUUUCCUACCAUUCCAUUAAAACUCAGUUAAUAUUUAACGGAAAAUGCAUAAAAAGUUAAUUUUACCCAUGGAGCGUAAAAGACUAUUUUACCCUUUAAGAGGGAAGAACAACAAAAGACGAUUUAAUUACAAAAUUACCCUCAAAAGACGACAAGACGAUUUUACCCUUUAAAAAGAAAGAACAACAAAAGACGAUUUAAUUACAAAAUUACCCCCAAAAGACGACACUGUUGCGAGAGUGAGAGAGAUAUGGGUCAGUGACAGACUGACAGUGAGCGAGAAAGGGCGGGGAUGGAACAAGAAACAAGAGAGAGGGGGGUUGAUUUCGAUUUCUAUGGCUUCCAUGUCCAAAUUGCUUGUUUUUUUACAAUUGCAAAACGCAACGUUUUGGCUUCGCGUGAGAUAUCCAAAAUGCCCUUAUGAUGUCAGCAUAAUUUUUAUUUAGUUAACGGAAUGGUGGGAAAAUGCUAACAGUUUAAACAUUUUGUGGUAAAUAUCUUUGGUAGGAAAAUGAUAAUAUCUCUUUUUUAAAAUAUGUUAUAAGAUAAGGUAAUUUUACCAAAAGUGAUUUAAAAAAUUAAUCAAACACUAAAAUUAACUUUUAACUUACAAAAUCACUUUUGAACUUUCAAAAAGUAAUCCUAAACGAGCCGUUAGUCUGACUUAAGACUUUCUAAUUUAUAUGUGAGAUUAUCUAUUAUUCCAAAAUUCUUAAGUUUUCAUUAAGACCAACAAAGUAAGAGACUUGAAGGUCUUCAAAAUCUAAAACAAAAAUUUAUUGGAUAUAAAUUGUAGAAAGAAAAUAAUAAUUAUUCUUCAAUAGCAUUUAUUAUUACUGUUUUUCCUACAUUAUUACUCAUGGUUUGGAUGACAAGAAGUCGGUCUGUAGUGGAGUUCUAAAAAGAAUUGAAAACAAAACAAAACAAAAUAAAACAAGGAAUAUACAAAAAAUGUGCAUAGCAUGCAUAAUAGGUGCAUAAAAAAUCAAAUUCAGUGACAUAUUACCAAACUUUACCGCACUAGAUCUAUUUCAUAAGUUAAUUAAGUCAAAUAAUUUUUUAGAAGAAGUAAUUUUUUUUUUUGUAGAGAAACGUUUUUCCAUUUGUGAGAUGAAAUUGCAUGCACAUGAAAAAGGUAAGAGCACGUAUGCGACAAAGCAUUUGGCACAUGAAAGUGCUGCAAGAUUUAUAGUAUGAAAACUUUUAAUCAUGUCUUCCACUUAGCUCAUCACUACCAAUAAAAUUAUAAAAGAAACAUAAUCUGAACGAACUUAUGCUAUAAAUAUACAAAAAGAAUGGCCCAUUAUAUCUCAGCAUCUAACAUAUCCAUAAAAUCAAGUGCUUAAUUAGUUUUCGACAAUCAAAUAGGAUUCUAAUUAUAUAUUAAAAAAUAAACUAUGUAGUGACUCACUCGAGUGCUCUCUCUUUUUACUAACUUUUGAUUGAUAUUUUUAGGCAGCUUAUUAUGAUAAGGUGUUCUGUUAGCUAAAAAUAUACAUAAAAAACUAAUAGUUAUUCUCUUCUUUUGCCUUAGUCUUUUUUGACUACUGAAUUGUCCCACUUUUAUACCAUUCAUUUUUUUUAAACCAAUCAAAAAGCACUAUUUGAACACUUGGAUAAUCUUUAAACGUACAACUACAAUAUACAGUUUAUAUAAAGUUGUCACCGGGAAAUGGUUCUUGUUAUUAAUUUAUUAUUAUUUGUUUAUGUAUGCUUCUGAUAUUCAUAUUAUUAACUACGUACAAAAAAAAUUGACAAUAUUAAUAUCAUUAACUACGAAACUAUUUCACAAUUAGGCUUUAGUCAAUAUCCAAAAGAUAGUGUCACAUUAUAUAGAACAUUUAUUAUAACAUAAACUUUGUAUUUAAACUUUAUAAUUACAGCUUGUAAAUAAAUCAAAUUGUUACGAUUGUUAUCAGAUUGCAUCAAAGUGUUACGUUAUAUGAAACAAUGGUUAGAACUGUAAAUUUUAUACCUUAAUUUUAUUAGCGAAAUGUAGAUUGUCACACUUGGCACUGGAUUAAAUUAAGGAGGAGAAGGAAGGAAAGCUUGAGGACCUAAAAUGGAUUCAUGGUUUGUGGUCAUGGGUUAUUAGAAAUGGAAACAACCGUUACUCACAAGAAAAAUGCCCUAGACAAAUGGGAUUAUGUUAUGUUAUGAGCAAAAGCAACAUAAGUGUGAGUUGAAAAUUGACCAAAACUUAAUUAAAUCAUCCAAAGCAAAAUGUGUAAUGAUGAGGGGUUUGGGUUUUGCUUGUUUGAGUGUUGAAGAGAUCAUUAUUGCGGCUCUUCUGGGAGACAGCGAAAGCAUUUGCUUCCUAAUUCGAGCUUUUUAUUACUAUUACUAUUAUUUCUUUAUUUCUUUAUUAAUUUCUCAUAGCAGCAGUAACCAGUCAGAUUCAUCAGAUAUAAAUCUACUGUUAUCAUCAUGAUGAUCGUGACACGCAUCUCUCAUUUAUUUCUUCUUGUGGAAAAGAAAACUCAUCUGCCCCAUCACUCGCAUUUAGCAUGUUUGCAAGAAAACAUGGCAAUGCAAAACAUUACCACUGCCUCACGUUAACUUUGCUUGCUUUGUUACUCAGAAGAUUACAAAAAGGAUUCUUCUCUUCUCUUUUUGCUAUUUGAAAUUUUGAAGUAUAAAGGUUUAUUAAAUAUUUUAUUGUUUUUGGUGAGUAAUUUAUUUCCACUUGUCUUUCAUCUAUAUAUAUAUAUAUAUAUAUAUAAUGUGUGUGUGUGUACACUUUUAAGUAUUUUGGUUUGUAUAUAAUAUAACGUUAGAUAGUAAGGAAAAAAAUUGAAGCGAGAAGGUACUCAGUCUCUAGGUCAGUUAAGUAUGCAAUUGUUUGGACUUUGGAUCACACAUUAUAGACCAUAUACGUCGACAAAAGUGAUUAUUAGAUAUUGAUGUUUAUAUUGUCUUGUCCUAAUAAGAUCGAUCUUAAUAACGCUCGAUAAAAAGUCGAUUAAUGAUCCAUUUGAGAUUCAGGUGUUACGAGAUGUCAUUGAACUAAAAAUAAAAAGACAACAUGUCAAUUAUGACAGAUAAAUCCAUAACGUAUCAUAUCAAUUUCAUCAUAAGAAAAUUAUUUAUUCAAACAUUUUCAUUACUGCAGACUGAUCUAAAUACCCUUGAAAAUUUAGAACUCCAAAUAAUUAUCAUCUAAUUAAUUUAUUACCCAACCCAAAUAACAAGCUAUCGUAAUUAUCUUUUAAUUAUUUUAUUAAUUUUUCUUUUAUAAAAUAAGAGGGUAGAUAAAACCUAAAUUGAAUUUUUGUUCUUCCAUUCGAAAAUAAAAUUAUUUGAAAAAUAGGAGCACAACAAAUAACCUUCAAUAUAUAUUUUAAAAUAAUUUUUUAUAUAAUUAUACUUCUCCUACUAUUUUAUUUUAUUUAAAAAAAAAAAUCUAUUACUAUUACAUAAAAACAAAAGCCCUCCCCCUCAUACUCAUCAUUACAUUCUAAUCUUGUCAUCUGAACUCCACUAUUUUUUGUUUCCAGCAUAAAACAAAUAGCCAAUCAAAGAAUUGGAGAAUUAAAAGAACAUAUAAUAUAAAGUACUGAAAAAAAAAAUAAAUCUGAUUUUCAUUGCCCGGAUCUCGGUAACAGACGCAAAAGCAAACCAUCACAAAAACCCAAAACGGCAUACACAAAAAGCAAAACGCUCAUGGAUAUGGAGAAAAUUUGAAAAAUAAAAAAUGAAAAGGGGAGAGAAUCAUUACGGUACGUUACAGUACAUUACGUAUGAUACCCACACGCGUGAGAAGAACCACUGUGACACACUGACAGAACGGUUUCGUUUCCUUUUUUUUAUUUUAUAUUUUAAAUUAAAUUAAUUUUUUUUUUAUGUAACGUAGAAAAGUCAGUUUGUUACUUUUUUUUUCUUUUAAUUUUAUAUAUAUGUAUAUGUAUGCAUGUGUGUAUAUAUAUAUAUAUAUAUUUUGUCUUUAUUAAAAGUUCAAGGGGCCUCGUGCGUGCGUUUUGUUUGUUUGUUGAAACCGUUUUACUUUUUUGGUUGCUUUUAUGGUGUGAUGAUGGAUGACGAUCUCUCUCUGUCGUUUACACGUGUGGCUAAUCGUAUCCGUCCACAUGGCGGGUAAUGCGAGCUCAACCUCCUGACAGUAACGAUUUCUCUUGCGGGAGUGAAGGAACCGAACCGUAACGAGAAUCGUGAACGAUGCCCGGGUUCUUGAGCGGGGUCCACCGGUCUAUGCUGUUUUUUUUUUCCAUUUCUCUCCCUCUCUCUCUCUCUCUCUCCAUAUGCAUAUAUAGGUCUGUAAAGAAUGGGAUCACCUUUAAUAAUUCUCGAAUUAUUAAUGGAUUGCAUUAUUAUGUUUAUAUUGAAUUUCAUUACUCUUAUUGUAAAUAAGACGUAAUUUCACAAUCAAGAAAUAGAUGAUCUUGAAUUUUACUUGACAUGUAAUUGGGACAAGUUGCUGCAAAUUAGUUCGAUCCAUUUACUAUCUAAUUAAAUUUAAACGGGCGGGAUUAUUUACACUCUAAUAAUUUAUACUCAGAACACUCAUUUUUUUUUAAUAAAAUUUUAUAUGAUAAAUGCACCCAUAAUCUCAUUUACCAUUAAGGACAUUUUAACAGUAAAAAAAUUACUCUACACAUCCAUCUAAUGCACCCAUGAAAUAUUGUAAUGCUCAAGUAUUUUAAAUCUCAAUAUCAAGCACAUUACCUCGAAAAAUUCAAUUAUCAGACACUAACCAAAUCUUUUUCAAACUCAAUCAAAAUUUUCCAUUUUGUUCACAUUAGAGGGACAUACAUAAUUCAAUUAUCAAAUCGCACGGUGAAAAUUGCUUAUUUAUUAUUCCGAUCCUUGGGGGAAAAAAAGGGGAACAAAAUGCUUAUUUGUUAUUCAUGAUUCGAGUUAAUAUAGUACAUAUAGUUUGCAAGUAGUGAGGAGAAUUGCCUUGGGUGUUAUGGUUCCAUGAAUGUAUUAAGGAACAAAGAGAAAGUAUUGAGAGUAUUUUAGAAUUUUAAUGAGUGUACAGAACAAAACUUAAUUUUUUUUUUUAAUUUUAAUGAAUCAGUGUUAGAAGUAAAUGAGUAUGUAGAGAAGUUUUCAAAGUGUGAAUAGUCCCACUCAAUUUAAAUUUAUAGAUCUCUCAAAAGGAUAACAUCAUUGGUUAUCCUAAUGAUUAAAGUUUUGGAUUAAUUUUUCCAUCAUAUAGUAGCAUUGAAUUUGAUCUAUAACCUGUUUGUGUUAUGUUGCUUUACCCGUUAAAUUAGUUGAUCUUUCUUAAUCGUCUUUGUUUUUUUUACUUCAAUUUUUAUUUUUCACUAUUUCACCUAACACAUGAUUUCGAAGUCUAAUCAAUUCCAACAUUUCCUUUCCAAGUCUAAUCAAUUUUAAUGUUUCUUUUUAUAGCUAAGUUCGAGUUAUUAACUGACCUAUAUGAAGUUAAGAGUUGUAAUAAACAAGCCAAAUAUAAUUUAGUUGUCAAACACUUUUUUAUUGUUAGAUACAAUUUUUGAGCGAUCUGUAUAUAAUUAAGAGUUAUACCAAACAAGCCAAAUAUAAUUUAGUUGUUAAAUACUUUAUAUAAUUUAGUUGUUAAAUACUUUUUUUAUUAUUAGGUACAAUAUUUGAGUAGGUGUAAGCUAUAGUAUUAUGUAACUUGGCCAUACUCUUAACUAUAUGAUUGUCAUUGACAUUGUCGGCAACAAAAUCAAUUAUAUCUUAGCUUUACGCUAAACUUUUUUUUUUUUUUUCCUUUUCAAUUUCCUCAAAGAUAAUAGUACAUGCCAAAAUCACAGAGCAAAAAAGUAGAACUCGAAAUGCUAAAAUGAUGGUGACUACUGAAAAUACCAGGGGCACAAACAAAGCAUGAAUUUUGGUUCGUGUUGGUGGAAAAAUCCAAGAACCUUUUUCUCCAAGGAUCAAUAUUAGUUAGGGUUUUGUUUAAUUAUUUCAUCUUUUUUCAAGCAAAAGGACAUGAAAAGCAGCCUUUGUUGAAAGAAAUUAACGAGCAAUAGGGCAUUGCAUUGCUAAUUUACAACUCCCUUUAUUGACUGGUCUAAAAGGAAUAUUGGAUGAUCACACAAGACAUUCACAUACGCAAAACAAAACCUGUUAUCAAACAGAAGAAUUAACAAAUCAAAAUAACAAGGUAGGUCCUUGUUUCUUCCUCCAUUGCGAAUCUUAAUCAUGUUUAGCAUCGACCAUUAACUAAUAAACCUUGUGUUCUCAUUAUCAAAUACAAACAUAUUAUAAACCAUCUACAUCUCUGUUAUCAAUAACUAACUAGGAACCAUUUAGAAGUAUUUCUAGGAACAGUUAACGUUGAACGGUAAAAACGGUUUUUGUCACUAGUGGGGUAGAAUUUGGUGGAUCCCGCAUCUUGGUUAAUUGUUAAUAUACAGGCAAGUUUAAAUACAAUUGUUCAGGCCCUUGCUUUUCAAUGUUAUUGAGAUUUUAGGUCAUAUGUUGUAAUUUAGUAUGAUAUAAUUAACCUAAAGGCGUGUACAAAUUUUCAGAUACGAACUAAAUUUUUUGAGUAUAUUAUUCCACAUUAGCUGAGUAUUGAUUUUGAUUAUGUAUAUAAAGUUUGCACCGCCUAAACUCUUAAACUUGUGGGCGGAGCUUAAAGUAAAACUUUGUAGGAGUCAAAUUCGAAGGACUAAUUUUUUUUUUGCCCUUCAAAUUUACACGUGACUUUAUUUUGACAUUAAUGUUAGUGAGAUAUUUUAUACUAACUAUCAUAUUUAGACUUUUUGUAUUUGUUGGACUAAAAAUAAAAUAAGCCUAGUUAGGGCCCAAAUAGAUUCAGUCCCUAUAAAGCCCAUAAAGAGAUAGAUAAAUGUCUUAGGAUAAAUCAACUAGGUGACAAGGUUUCAAAACCCAAAAGGAGCCAAGGUCUUAGGUUCCUAUCCUAAGACAAACCACCUAGGAUAAAAUCAACUAGGUGGCAAGGAUUCAAAGCCCAAAAGGAGCUAAGGUCUUAGGUUCGAUUCAAAGCCCAAAAAGUGUCGAGGUCCUAUGCUCCUAUCCUAAACAAACCACUUAGGACAAACCUUCUAAAUUUCAAGGUUCUUAUAAUCCCAAAGUCUUAAUAAAAAUAACCUAAGGAUAAAAUAUUUUUUCUUUUAAUCUGUAGAUAAGUUUGCAUAUCCAUACGUCAAUCAACAUGGGCACUAGAAGCUAAGUGUUGCCAAAUGUCACAAGAACAAUGACACUUGUCAUCAAAAUAAGUUGGAUUCAAGUCAAAUCAAUUUUGCCUAUAAAUAUGUCCCUCAUUCUCACAAAGGUAAGAAAAAAAUGGAUUAUGGGGGGGAAAUACUGACUUUCUCUCUCUAAUUUUCUUUCUCUUUAAAUUUAUAUUUCUAAAGAUCCGAUGAUUGACUUGUUCGUUGGAGGGUUUACGCCGUCAAAGCUGACUCUCUAAUCAUUUUCUUGUGUUUGUAGAAUAUCACUAGAUAAAGACAUUUUCAUUGCCUAAGGAAGUAAACUCAAAAGAGGAGCUAUAAAGGCCAAUUAAGAUCAGCCCAAAGGGUAAAUUCACCAUUGUUAAAUCGAAUAAAGAGAAGUCUAAGUCUUAAUGGGGUCGUCCUCAGUUGAAAUUUUCACAUAAUAAGUUGGGAUAAAAUUUACACCAACAGUACUACCUUUUAUAUUUAGACAUUUUUACCGUAACUCUCAUAUUUAGACCUUUUAUACUAACUUUUAUAUUCUAUAUAUAAAACUUUUAAAUUUUUUUUCAAACUCUAUGGGUGCUGUAUGGCAGUAUGGCACCGCCAAGCCAUAUACGUCCUCCGCCCCUACUUGAGCUAGGUUGUCAGUACAUAUGAGCCAAAAUAGGCCACCGACGUUGGAUCGAUGCGACAAGCUCAAAUGAGUUUCGCACUAUUUAAUCAUAAUAUUAUAGAGCAGUGACUAAGAACCUUGGUUUCGUAUAUAUCUAAGUAUGGAAAUAACAAGAUUAAUACCUUGUACAUUUCAUGAUCACCUAUAAAAAUAUGUAAGCCGUUAAUUAACAAAGUUUUGUUAUUAAGUCACUAUCUUAAUGACCCCACCGUAUAUUCUUUUGUCUAUCUUUGCUUUUGCCUUUUUUCCUCCGGCUGAUAGCUGACCCUUGUUUUGUUGCACGCAUGCAUGCAUGAACAAUUUGUGAUAUAAUAUUUUUGACCACAAAGAAUUUCUUGUACCGCUUGAUGUGAUUGAUACUGUUAGCUAACCCACCAUUAAAACGAAGAAAUCAAUUAAUAUAUAGUUUGUUAUGUUUGUGUUUAUUUAAAUCUUUGAUAAUUAAGACAAAUCUUAACGAAUAUUUUCUCUCUCUCUCUCUCUCUUUCUCCAAUUUACACUUGCUAACCGUUUGGUUACUAAGAAAAUGGUGGUGAAAUUAUCAAGGAAAAUAUUGGAAUAAUACAAACAUUUUUGUUGUGUUUUGAAAUUUAUGCUAUUUUGGUGCCAAAAAAUGCUUUUGGUCGAAUGUUUGAGAGAACCACUUGGCGCACAAAGCUUUGCAAUUAUCUUUGUCUCUUUAUUUAGAGUAGGCCUUUCUACACCUCUCAAAAUUCCUUAUAAAAUCACUUUCUUAAUGAAAUUACUCAAAUAACAAAAAAUAAAUUAAAUCAUUUUUUUCGCUUUGAAUAAAAAUUUGAUAGAAUACUUAAAUAAAAUAUUAG